UGGCGGCCGCGGGAAUUCGAUUCCCGCCCGCCUACGGGAGGCAGCGGGGGGGAAUAUUGCACAAUGGGCGCAAGCCUGAUGCAGCAACGCCGUGUGAGUGAAGAAGGCCUUCGGGUCGUAAAACUCUGUCCUAUGGGAAGAAAAAAAUGACGGUACCAUAGGAGGAAGCCCCGGCUAACUACGUGCCAGCAGCCGCGGUAAUACGUAGGGGGCAAGCGUUAUCCGGAAUCACUGGGCGUAAAGGGUGCGUAGGCGGCUAAGCAAGCCAGGGGUGAAAGGCAUUGGCUCAACCAAUGUAAGCCUUUGGAACUGUUUGGCUUGAGUGCAGGAGAGGUAAGUGGAAUUCCUAGUGUAGAGGUGAAAUUCGUAGAUAUUAGGAGGAACACCAGUGGCGAAGGCGACUUACUGGACUGUAACUGACGCUGAGGCACGAAAGCGUGGGUAGCGAACAGGAUUAGAUACCCUGGUAGUCCACGCCCGCAAACGAUGAAUACUAGGUG
RNAcentral lists this ribosomal RNA (500 nucleotides) under uncultured Clostridiaceae bacterium. RNAcentral describes it as "bacterial SSU rRNA". It matches the Rfam family "Bacterial small subunit ribosomal RNA", at positions 305 to 822 of the family's 1533-position model. The record is from RNAcentral. Lineage: Bacteria; Bacillati; Bacillota; Clostridia; Eubacteriales; Clostridiaceae.